UUAAAUACUAUGAUCAGGGAAAGUAAAUUAUAUGGAGCAUACAGAGAGAAACCCCGCGGCUGAGAGGGUUUUAUGCAGAAGUAUGGUUGAAGUGCCCCUGUGAGUUUUAGACCGAAUACAGUAGGUUGUUACGGGUUCUCCCGUUAUAGGGAUAUGACAUGAUUGUGUCAGAUAAAAGAGUUGGGCUUAUGCUCAAACAGAGUGGAACCGCGGAAUUAACCUUCUGCCUCUGUA
RNAcentral lists this non-coding RNA (234 nucleotides) under Caloramator quimbayensis. RNAcentral's name for it is "T-box sequence". It matches the Rfam family "T-box leader". From Rfam's summary of the family: Uncharged tRNA acts as the effector for transcription antitermination of genes in the T-box leader family. T-boxes are found upstream of many aminoacyl-tRNA synthetase genes and some amino acid biosynthetic genes usually in Gram-positive bacteria. The record is from RNAcentral. Lineage: Bacteria; Bacillati; Bacillota; Clostridia; Eubacteriales; Clostridiaceae.